Molecule: long non-coding RNA, 100 nt
Organism: Myotis brandtii (Brandt's bat)
Lineage: Eukaryota; Metazoa; Chordata; Mammalia; Chiroptera; Vespertilionidae
Exons: 3
Source: RefSeq, a predicted model, not a curated record
UAACAUCAUUCGAGGGCCAUACAAAAUUAUCAACUCAAAAAAUAGCCUGCUAUAUUUGGUCGAACAUUUAAGUAACUCACCCUUAAUGCCAGACUCAAUG